UACAGAGGGGGCAAGCGUUGUUCGGAAUUACUGGGCGUAAAGGGCGCGUAGGCGGCCUUCUAAGUCGAACGUGAAAUCCCUGGGCUCAACCCAGGAACUGCGUCCGAUACUGGAAGGCUUGAAUCCGGGAGAGGGAUGCGGAAUUCCAGGUGUAGCGGUGAAAUGCGUAGAUAUCGGGAGGAACACCAGUGGCGAAGGCGGCGACCUGGGCCAAUAUUGACGCUGAGGUGCGAAAGCGUGGGGAGCAAACAGGG
This 254-nucleotide ribosomal RNA is filed under the name uncultured bacterium. Its description in RNAcentral is "partial 16S ribosomal RNA". It matches the Rfam family "Bacterial small subunit ribosomal RNA", at positions 524 to 777 of the family's 1533-position model. The record is from RNAcentral.